RNAcentral lists this long non-coding RNA (244 nucleotides) under Brassica napus (rape). Its description in RNAcentral is "long non-coding RNA (BNAP_LNC019478)". Lineage: Eukaryota; Viridiplantae; Streptophyta; Magnoliopsida; Brassicales; Brassicaceae. The record is from RNAcentral.
GAGAGGGGAUCCUCGUAUUUAUAAGGAAAAGAGAGGGGGGAACUCGAGGCAUCAUCAUUAGGUCUAUUCGGGCCUAGAUGGGCCUCGAAACUCUCCCCAAAAAUCCAGCGGACCCUCGCGACGUUUCAACUUCUCGGUGCAUUUAAAAGAGAAAAAGGGGGGAUUCGAGGUGUCGUCAUUAAGCCUAAACGGGCCUAAAUGGGCCUCGAAACUCUCCCAGAUAUCCAGCGGACCCUCGCGACGG